Molecule: non-coding RNA, 243 nt
Organism: Pelobates cultripes (western spadefoot toad)
Lineage: Eukaryota; Metazoa; Chordata; Amphibia; Anura; Pelobatidae
Source: the annotation of a GenBank genome assembly
CCCGGCGCUGGAGAAAGAGGUAAGUUUAACCCCUUCCUCCCCCCAGAGCCCAGUGGGAGGGGGGCCCUGAGGGUGGGGGCACCCUCAUGGCACUAUAGUGCCAGGAAAACGAGUUUUCCUGGCACUAUAGUGGUCCUUUAAUAUAGUUGUUCUGGUGAGUAUUAUCAUUCCCUGCAGGCAUUUUCAUGUAAACACUGUCUUUUCAGAAAAAAGGCAGUGUUUAAAUUUCCCCCGAAGAACACC